This 270-nucleotide ribosomal RNA is filed under the name uncultured archaeon. Its description in RNAcentral is "partial 16S ribosomal RNA". It matches the Rfam family "Archaeal small subunit ribosomal RNA", at positions 477 to 747 of the family's 1478-position model. The record is from RNAcentral.
CAGCAGCCCGAGUGGUGGUCGUUUUUAUUGGGCCUGAAGCGUCCGUAGCCGGUCUAGUAAAUCCUUGGAUAAAUCGUACAGCUUAACUGUACGGCUCCCGGGGAGACUGCUAGACUUGGGACUGGGAGAGGUCGGAGGUACUCCAGGGGUAGGGGUGAAAUCUUGUAAUCCUUGGGGGACCACCAGUGGCGAAGGCGUCCGACCAGAACGGGUCCGACGGUAAGGGACGAAGCCCUGGGUCGCGAACCGGAUUAGAUACCCGAGUAGUCC